UCCGCACGCGAGUGGCCGGGAGUGACCGACCGGGGGCGGGACCAAGGGGCAGCGCGGGGAUCCUUGCGUCCCGCGGCUCUAAAACGCCCGGAAACCUGGAAUUGUGGAAAAAUUCGGCCUUUCUCUUCCCUUCCGUAGAUGACAGUACGCGAAACUGGGAAAAUGAGUAAAUUUAUGUAGUUGGCCAUCAUUAUCAAAAUGCAGUUUUAGAACAUUUCCAUCAGCCCGGUUUAUAGCAUCUCCUUUCUGCUCGAUAACCUGACUGGCUUCAUUCAGCAGGAAGUCCACAUGGAUCAGAGGGCCCACAGGAACUCAUGUCCCUCCUCCUCCCUUCCCACCGGCCAGCUCUGUGCCCCAUCUCUUACUAGUGAACCACCCUCUCCUGCUUCUAGCCAUGUGGGCCUCGUGCUGCUCCUCAGCCACACUCUUUUUGUCCCACCUCAAGCCUUUCCCGUGGCUGUGUGCUCUGCCUGGACAGCCCCUCCCACAGACACACUCAACUCCACGACUUCUCCUUGAAGAUGUCUGUGAUGUUGUGAUUUAUAAUAAGAAAUACAUAUUUCAGGGGCACCUGGGUGGUUCGGCUGAGCGUCUGCCUUCU
Molecule: long non-coding RNA, 601 nt
Organism: Callorhinus ursinus (northern fur seal)
Lineage: Eukaryota; Metazoa; Chordata; Mammalia; Carnivora; Otariidae
Source: RefSeq, a predicted model, not a curated record